RNAcentral lists this transfer RNA (25 nucleotides) under Macquaria ambigua (golden perch). Its description in RNAcentral is "partial tRNA-Pro". The record is from RNAcentral. Lineage: Eukaryota; Metazoa; Chordata; Actinopteri; Centrarchiformes; Percichthyidae.
CAAAGAAUAGUUUAAGUUAGAACCC